AUGGGCUUUCCUGUGCCUCUAGAGUCAAACAUUUUCAGCAAAUAAGAAACAUGGCCGAUAAGGAGGAGAAAAUUCACCUCUGAACAUCAUUUUACAAAUUAUAUCUCAGAAAUAACUGAGUGAGUUCAGGAACUAUAGGAGUACAAUAGAGGGCUCCAUGCACCCCUUUGCCAGCCUUUUUUUAGACUCCACAAAGAAUACAGCCAUAAUACAACUGUGUAUAUGAGCCCUUAAAAGAUGACCAUACACAUUAGAUCAAUGGGCCAAUUCACGUCUAAUUUUCCUCAUGGACCGUCAGUCCGUACAGAGGAGAUUGCAGCAGACUUUGCUUUGGUCCGAUUUUCUCUGAAGACCUGUCCAUGAGAAAAUUACCUAGUACAUGGACACAUCUGUGAGUGGAUGUAUUCAAACAUUCUCUGUUUUUAGAGGCUGGAGCAUGGAUGAGUUUUAGAUCUUAAUAUAGUUGGCCAACCGUUAUCUCUACCAGCUACCCCAAUACACAUGCAUGUUCGGUUCGGCCAAAUGUGUAUGUGUAUUCAGUAGGGAGAGAUGAGAAAGCCACUGCCAAACGCUUCUGACAGCGGCGCAUCUCCUGGGAGAACAACAGGACAAAAACAUUCACUUCACCUGAUCUUUCUCUCCAUCAUCAUCAUCUACUGGGGGAGAAUCGGGAGAUCCCCGUACAUGUUAAACUGCCUUUCUCGCCGAGUUCAGCAUAUAAUACACUAUUGUGUAUGGGGGCCUAUAGGCUAAUUUCAGACAUCCGUGCGGCAGCAACAACACCCGGACCCCUGGUGGUUCUGCUGAACUCAGGCUCUGUUCACACUACCAUUGCAGAUUCACAAAGCUCUGCCAAAUCCAUUGUUCAGCAGAUACCAUCUGUAUCUGACUGGUCACUUGUACUUAUAUUUGGAUGCAUCAGGUCCAUGUAGAAGGACCAUUCUAUAAACUUGCUGACCAUGCCCCAAAGUCAGAUACACUGGAAAGGAUCGUCCAUGUUGGAUUUCAACAGGUGUCUGUCUCUAGUAACAACCAGCAGAAUUACGAAUUCAGCUCUACAGUAUAUAACACAGGCCUUAACUCAGGAUCAGUACAAGAUGCAAAGUUACUUACCUUUUGAUAUGUAAACUAUAAAAUGGUGUUCAACAGUGGACAAAUGGACAAAUGCUAAGGUACAGUAUAACUUCUGUAUAUGUGAUAUUUGCUAUCUAUUGUCAUGCCACCUAUUUUUUGCUUGCACAUCAGCGAUGGACUUGAGGAAAACAAAAAUAUAAUGGAUACCUUUUUGGUUUGGAGGCUACAUGGUCAAACCUAAGGCCUUGGCUGCCUGGUCAUCUGAGGCUUCUGUAUUUUAUGUAGAUAGGGUCAGUGAACAUACCACUGCCUUCGUUGUAUAGUGUCUAUGGGAAAACUGUAAACCUCUUUCUAUUAUAUAAUCACGCUAACACCAUUGGGCGGUUCACAAAAGAAGGUUAUUGGUGUAAAAAAAAGCACAUAUUUACUACAUGUAACUUCUCGUGCAGGUCUGUGUAGAGAUGGAAACUUCUGGUUUUUAUCUUAUAUGUGCUAUUCUGUGCUAAUAAAUUCUCAUGAAAAGUGGUUUUACUACAAUGUUCAAAGUAAUGUAAUGUUAAUGUGCCUUUACACAAUACCUGACCUGUGAACACUGUAGGUUCAUGCAAUAUGUUGUAGUGAUGUGCGAUUUAGUAUUUUGUAUCAUUUAAAUGUUACAUUAUUGAUCAUACAUACGUGUGUACUCUUGUGCUAAAGCUGCUCAUAUUGGGAGGAUUACCUAGAUGACAGCUUAAAGGGUUUGUCACAGUUAUAUCAAAAAAAAUAUAUUGCACUGUAAAUAUGAUGGUAAGCAAUAUAUACAUAAGCUAAGAAAGUUUUGGGCAAAAAAAAAGUCAAGAUUUUCUCAUUUCCCUCGUUCUCUUCUUGCCCUUUGUUUACCAGCAAUAACAACAAUCUCUGUCCCUCCCCUGCUCUGCAAAGAGAGUGAAUACAAGUGCUGCCCUGAAUGACAUGUCUGAUUGCUGGGAUCCUUAGCAGCAUGUUGUAUGUGUCGGACUACAAGUCCCAGCUGUACAAUGACACUGCUGAUACACACAGGAUCUUCACCCUACUACUAGUUCUUGUGCAAUUUUCUGCAGAACUCCUCCAGUCUGUCAGCUUUGUGGCUGCAGGAUGAGAAGGGAAGAUCCCGUACCCAGCAUUUGUCUCUUCACUGCCUGCCGCUGCUCAGCAAAGCCUCAAGCCCUGAGUCUGUGCUACUGAUGGUAGAAGGGGUUAAACUUUCCUGAAGAAUCCAGUGGGAGGGAGACACAGUGGGAGAGAGCAGCAGCUCAGCCAGUGCAGGGGGCAUGGCCAGCACUGUAAAGUCUGGUGCACAGACACAGACCUGCUCCCCAGGCUUGUGUACAAAACAUCAUCAGAGCAGCGAGAGAAUAUCCCACUGCUCAUGAUAACAUAAGUAAAAAA
This is a long non-coding RNA of Bufo bufo (common toad), 2481 nucleotides long. RefSeq lists it as uncharacterized. The record is from RefSeq and is a predicted model, not a curated record. Lineage: Eukaryota; Metazoa; Chordata; Amphibia; Anura; Bufonidae. The transcript is spliced from 2 exons.